UAAGGGGGCAAAAAUGUAAAGCAGGAAGGAAAAAAAAGUUGCCUUGUUGCAUUGGCCGGGAAUCGAACCCGGGCCUCCCGCGUGGCAGGCGAGAAUUCUACCACUGAACCACCAAUGCAGCUCUGAAUGAAGAGUUGCAACCGAGACUCAGGUGGUCAGCCACAGGCUCCAGCACCACGUCUGCUCUCGAUCAAUGUCUCCGUCGGGUCCGUGGGGGCGGGGCUCCCGGUCCAACUCCAGAGGAUCGAGAAGACAGUAACUAUGACCUGGACUACAAGCUGUACAGGGAAGAUGUCCCCUACAGGGUGUAUGAAUACCAAGGAAUCCCUCCACUCCUCAACCGCAUGCCUGUCAAGAUCCGGAGGACCCACGUGGGCAUGGGGGUUAAGAGCAGCUUCAGUCCCCACAAGGGCCCCAGGAAGAGCCACCUGCCCCGAGAGCAAAUAAAGCUCCAGACCAAGGAGCUGCACUCUAUCAGGAGGGAGCUAAACCAGAUCAAAGCCCAGGUGGACCGUCUAUUGGAGAAUCUGGAGCGCAUGGACCAGCAGAGGGACCAGUUUCCAGGGUCAGACGCCAGUGAAGAAAACAGGGCCGCAGUGAGUAAGAGUUACUCAUGCAGAAUCACUGAAGCCAAGCAGGAGCCCAGGGGCCAGAGGGCCCAUCCAGAAGCAGACAGCCCAGAGGACAGCACACACCCAGAGGAGGCAGUGAAGAAUCAUGCAUCGGACCAGGAGGGCAGUCAGUAGAAGACUGGAAUUCCUCCCGGCUUCUUCCCAGACGGCUCCCUUCCUUGCCUCAUGGGGUUUUUGGAAGGCCUCCUGGUGGCACCUGUGCGACCAAAAGCACACAUUCUGGAAUGAGUACAAUGAAGCGGAGGUGUGGCUCACCACACCAGCUGGGAAGCCCCUCCGUAAUGGUUGCUUUUGCUUUUGGAGGCCAUGUUUCCAGAUAGUCCGGGGAGCUAAGAGGGAGGUCUAGCACAUGCUCACUAUCCUCAUGAGGGAGGCCGUCUGGCAAGGGGCGGAAGAACAGCGCCCCGCCCCCACCUUGGGAGCACAUCUGCCCCCUCUGACUGCAGGCAUUGCUUUGGCUGCUCUUCUCCCUGCCCCAGGCCCUGCCAGUUCUGUGUGGAGUGUCCCGCCCCCGCCGCCAGCCCAGCUUUCUCAGCUCCAGUGAUGCACAGGAAAUAAACUCAUGUUCUACGGACCCCUUCUGGUCUGAAACUGACCUUUAAGCUCCUUGGUGUGUGUCCCACAUGACCUCCUUUGGUUCCAGACUCCCCACCCAUCCACCCUCAUUCAGAAUAGAGUAUCAUUUUUAUGUCCUGUUUCUAUCUUGUCUCUCACUGGUGUGAUACUAUGUACUUCAGACCUGCUCUGGAAAUACUGUAAUGUCAAAGGAGAAAAAUAAAUUUGUAUUUCUUUUCCCUGGUC
RNAcentral lists this transfer RNA (1433 nucleotides) under Suricata suricatta (meerkat). RNAcentral's name for it is "lncRNA (ENSSSUG00005018409.1)". The record is from RNAcentral. Lineage: Eukaryota; Metazoa; Chordata; Mammalia; Carnivora; Herpestidae.